UUUUUUAGUUCCUGGUUCUUCCUUAUUUUUAUCAUGGUGCUAAUCUUUGUUUACCCAGGUUCUGACAUUUUUACCCUAGAAUUAAUUACCCCAGAUGGUCGACUCUACUGUGUUUUCCAAGCAAACAAAGAAGGCAGGAAAUGUGAGCUUCCUGAGCAAAUUGCCUUUCCGUUUUAAUAUGAGACUUUGCCUUUUAGAAUCAUAUUUUUCUUAUGUUUACUUUUCUUCAUUAUUAUUAUUAUCAUUAUUAUUAUCAUUUUGGUUUGGAUCUAGUUAGAGUUUCCCUUUUCCAUUUAAAAUUUGGUCCUGAUAUUUUGCUUUUUGCUUCCCCAUGUCUCAAUUUGUUAAAUCUUAUUGUUCUAUGUAAUUUGAAUUGCUACAUCCUUUCUGUUGACUAGCUCCUUGCUCAGAAUAACUUUUCCACACCUGGAACUUUGGCGUAGGAGUUCUUUUCACUUUUAUGCAUUUCCCGCGACAUUACAGGGUGAGUACGUAGCAGAUGAGUGCUUGUGAGCCUUUCCUCUGGGAUUCACACAGAUGGCUCACUCCUAACUUUGGUGAGUCAUUCAGUGGCCAGAUGUUUGCCUCUUUCCUCCUCCCCACUCUACCCCCACAAUUCAGUGUACUGUUCUUUGAAUGACAUCCCCUCUUGUUUUUGCCUCUCUUUCUCCUGAUGCAAUGGCCAAAAUGCUGGAAAUGGCUGCCUUAAAUGUAGGGACCAUUAGGAUCUCGCUCAACACAGAACCCAGGCCACCUGUAAUAACACAGCUGGCUCCCAGUCCUGAAACCCUGCCUUUCUGCCCUGAAUGGGGUGCAGAGAACCAGUCCAGACACCUGAAACUGCCACCCUUCUUCAUCUGUAGGUGCAGGGGCCCUCUGUAUCAGGAAGAGAGCCUCUCUGAAAUCCACUGUCAUUCUGGGCUUUUCCUGGACCAGCUCUCCUUACCUACCCCCUUCUCUAGCCUGUCAGUUUCACUCAUUCAUUGGACAUUUAUAAGCACUAAGUAUGUACCAGGCAUCAUGCUGGCCUUUGGUGGUACCAACAAAUAAAGAGACUGCUAAAUGCAGAAAAAUAGGCACAGAGUAAAGACUUGUAAGUCUGUAAAGGAGUGCUCAGUGAGAAGUCACACAAGCUAAGUUUCCAAGGACCAUUUGCAGAUCACUGCUGAACAUUCUCCAUCCUGCCUACUUUGUAUUAGAGGACUUCUUGCAGGGAGAAAUAUAAUCAGCAGGAUCCUCGCUCAGAGACCUGGCAGACACCACCUUAACCCAGUGAUCAAAGUUAACCUCCCCAGUACAUGUACAACUACUGCUGCCCUGAAAGGAUGCACUGAGAACAUUUCUGUGUCAUUUCUACCACAGAUGCGCUACUUGAAUCUAAUUAUGAAGAGACAAGAGACAAACCCAGAUUGAGGGGCAUUCAGCAAAAUAAUUGCCCUGUACUCUUUAAAAAACGGCAAUGUUGAGAAAGACAAAGAAAGACUGAGGAGCUAUUCCAGUUAAAGUAGGCUAGAGACACUGGGAACCAAAUGUGAUGCAUGAUCCAGGAUAUUCUUUUAUUACAAUGAGCAUCAUUGGGACAGUUGGUAAAAUGUGAAUAUUGUCUGAAGAGUAUAAUAUUGUAUCAAAGUUAAUUUCCUGGUCUUGAGGAUUGUACUGUGGUUAUGUAAGAGAAUGUCCUUGUUUUUAGGAAAUAGAUGUUGAAAUAUCUUGAGAUAAAGAGCAUUAUGUCGGCGACUUAUUAUCAAAUAGUACAGGAAAAUGAGUGUGUGUGUGUGUGUGUGUGUGUGUGUGUGUGGAGAGAGAGAGAGAAGGGAGGGACAGAGGGACAGAGAGAUAUAAAACCAAUGCACCUGGGUGCGGUGGCUCACGCCUGUAAUCCCAGCACUUUGGGAGGCCAGGGUGGGCAGAUCAUGAGGUCAGAAGUUCGAGACCAGCCUAACCAACAUGGUGAAACCCCGUCUCUACAAAAAUACAAAAAUCAGCCAGGCGUGGUGGCACGCGCCUGUAAUCCCAGCUACUCAGGAGGCUGAGGCAGGAGAAUUGCUUGAACCCAGGAGGCGGAGGUUGCAGUGAGCCAAGAUCACGCCACUGCACUCCAGCCUGGUGACAGAGCAAGACUCUGUCUC
Molecule: long non-coding RNA, 2129 nt
Filed under: Homo sapiens (human)
Lineage: Eukaryota; Metazoa; Chordata; Mammalia; Primates; Hominidae
Description: non-protein coding lnc-KRBA2-2:1
Source: RNAcentral